Long non-coding RNA from Beta vulgaris subsp. vulgaris (sugar beet), 1142 nucleotides. RefSeq lists it as uncharacterized. NCBI's taxonomy places the organism in Eukaryota, Viridiplantae, Streptophyta, Magnoliopsida, Caryophyllales, Amaranthaceae. The record is from RefSeq and is a predicted model, not a curated record. The transcript is spliced from 3 exons.
CACCGCGCACUGCGACUGGACAAACAUCGUUCUCACUAGUAUAUGGUUGCGAGGUUGUCCUGCCUUCAGAAGUGAGCGUCUCGACUGCGAGAUGUAGUCUAGCGACGGAGCGACAGAACUGCGAUGAACUUGUGAACGACCUAGAUACCAUUGAAGAGUCGCGCGACGCAGCAUUGGUACGCAUGGCGGCCCAACAGCAAAUAGUCGCAAGGAGUUUCAAUAAAAACGUCCAAGCCAAGUCCUUCGUCAAAGGUGAUUGGGUCCUAAGAAAAGUGUUUCAGAACACACAAGAGGCUAACGCUGGUAAGCAAGGACAGAAGUGGGAAGGACCAUACCAAAUUAGUAAGGUGGUAGGCAACGGAGCCUACCAAUUGGUCCGACGUGACAGAAGCUCCGUGCCACGUAGCUGGAAUGCCACACACCUCAAACGAUACUUCUUUUAAGCUAAGUAAUAAGUUUUGUUUUCCCUUCGUUGUGUAAAAAAAAAAUGGACGCUAAUGUUAUUGUAUCUGUGUCGCUAGCCGCUAGCGAUCAUAGUGUUCUCUCACUAGGUAUUGUUGAAUUUCAGGGAAGUUGUUCCUGUUCAUCUCGUUAACGUCCCGACGAUUUUUUAGAAGACAACAGGCAGACUUGCAUUUUACUACCAUAUAAAGUCUUUUGGUCCACUAUUACUCCAACUGACGCUACAACAGGGGCAUAGUCAUUUUAAAGCUAUAACUGCUUACGACAUUUCAUCUAUCUCUCUGACAAACACACUUUUUCAAACCGCAAGCUUCUACUGCAAGUCUGCAACUCAAGAUCAUAAGCAUCUGCAAUAACAACUACUUUUUUCUGAUGUAGAAGGGAUGCAAGAGCCUAGAUGUGUCAAAUGAGUCGACUAGGCUCAGUUCAGAUUGCGUGAAGAUUUGGAAAUUGGUUAUCAUGGAAGUCGAUUGAUUAGAAAACCCACUAGGUUUCUUUGUGUUGUUGGUUCAGUUUGUAGCAUGUCUGAUUGAUCAAUAUUGUUCAUGUGUACAUGGAGACAAUUGUAGAAUAUUAAAGUGGCUCUUUGUAUUGUAAGGAUUGUCGUGCUAGUUUCAUUGUUAUGCUAUAUACUAAACCUGAAAGCAGUUAAUGGAGUAAGAUAGAUUCAAUUUAAUUCU